This 254-nucleotide ribosomal RNA is filed under the name uncultured bacterium. RNAcentral's name for it is "partial 16S ribosomal RNA". It matches the Rfam family "Bacterial small subunit ribosomal RNA", at positions 524 to 776 of the family's 1533-position model. The record is from RNAcentral.
UACAGAGGUCUCAAGCGUUUGUUCGGAUUCAUUGGGCGUAAAGGGUGCGUAGGUGGCGCCAUAAGUCAGGUGUGAAAUCUCGGGGCUUAACUCCGAAACUGCAUUUGAUACUGUGGUGCUUGAGGACUGGAGAGGAGACUGGAAUUCACGGUGUAGCAGUGAAAUGCGUAGAUAUCGUGAGGAAGACCAGUGGCGAAGGCGGGUCUCUGGACAGUUCCUGACACUGAGACACGAAGGCCAGGGGAGCAAACGGG